Molecule: long non-coding RNA, 591 nt
Organism: Neodiprion fabricii
Lineage: Eukaryota; Metazoa; Arthropoda; Insecta; Hymenoptera; Diprionidae
Exons: 3
Source: RefSeq, a predicted model, not a curated record
UCGUUCGAUUGAUGGUUUGAUCGUGCUGGUCGAGCCGGGUCGCCAGCCUGUUAUAAAUUACCUUGCUCGUCGGGGUCGAUACACGAACACGCAGAUUCGCCGGUUGGAUUCCUUGAAUGAGGCAGUGGCUGGUUGGAGAUUCCUCGGCAGUCUUCCAAAGGUGUCUCGAUGCUGUCCUCGCCAACUUUGAACCCUGGGAAUAAUUCGGUUGAGCUGUUAACCAGCAAAUUCAUUUGAACAUUCAAAUAAAUGUGAAAGACUAAUUGAAAGCAUUCACACCGCACAGCAAACAGAAGAGUUGAUCUACCGGUAAAAUUCGCUGAAAACGGAACCUUCGCAAUUCCGAGUCUCCCGAGACCUGAUCGAGUUUCUCUACAUUUGUGCCACAAGUGGUUUUCCUGCAAAUCCCAUGGACUUGAAAGUAUAUCAACGCACGAAACGCGAUGUGAUACAAGGUGUCGAAUGGAAAGAAGAGAAGGCAGGGCUAUGGAACGUACCCGACGGACGGACGGAGAGUAACGAGACGAAUCGAAGCGUAAAAACGAGCUCUGCAACGGACAACGAAACUGAGGAAUGAAAAAUCUGGAAGGU